Molecule: unclassified non-coding RNA, 152 nt
Filed under: soil metagenome
Description: partial internal transcribed spacer 1
Source: RNAcentral
CCGAGUUUACAACUCCCAAACCCCUGUGAACAUACCUAUCGUUGCUUCGGCGGAUCCGCCCCGGCGCCCUCGGGCCCGGAUCGGGCGCCCGCCGGAGACCCAAACUCUUGUAUUUAUUUAUGUAUCUUCUGAGUAAACAAGCAAAUAAAUUA